RNAcentral lists this ribosomal RNA (366 nucleotides) under Cyanobacteria bacterium NIONPE. RNAcentral describes it as "bacterial SSU rRNA". It matches the Rfam family "Bacterial small subunit ribosomal RNA", at positions 410 to 792 of the family's 1533-position model. Lineage: Bacteria; Bacillati; Cyanobacteriota. The record is from RNAcentral.
GAUGUCUGUGGAUUGUAACCUCUUUUCUCUAGGAAGAAGAUCUGACGGUACUAGAGGAAUCAGCAUCGGCUAACUCCGUGCCAGCAGCCGCGGUAAGACGGAGGAUGCAAGCGUUAUCCGGAAUUAUUGGGCGUAAAGCGUCCGUAGGCGGUUAAUUAAGUCAGUUGUUAAAGACUGCAGCUCAACUGUGGAGGAGCAACUGAAACUGAUUGACUAGAGUAUGGUAGGGGUAGAGGGAAUUCCUAGUGUAGCGGUGAAAUGCGUAGAUAUUAGGAAGAACACCAGUGGCGAAGGCGCUCUACUGGGCCAAGACUGACGCUGAUGGACGAAAGCUAGGGGAGCGAAAGGGAUUAGAUACCCCCAGUA